Cucurbita moschata (crookneck pumpkin) is the source of this 98-nucleotide long non-coding RNA. RefSeq lists it as uncharacterized. The transcript is spliced from 3 exons. The record is from RefSeq and is a predicted model, not a curated record. NCBI's taxonomy places the organism in Eukaryota, Viridiplantae, Streptophyta, Magnoliopsida, Cucurbitales, Cucurbitaceae.
CAGAGGACUGAAGAAACAAGAUGAAAACAAAAGAAAAUCUCUCCUCUGUGUAUACUUUUUUGGAGGAGGAAAAUGAAAAGUGCUCUGCUUUGAUACCA